Long non-coding RNA from Pseudopipra pipra, 764 nucleotides. RefSeq lists it as uncharacterized. The record is from RefSeq and is a predicted model, not a curated record. The transcript is spliced from 2 exons. NCBI's taxonomy places the organism in Eukaryota, Metazoa, Chordata, Aves, Passeriformes, Pipridae.
GGGAGGAAAAGGGGCAAAACAGGGGCAGGGUGGGGAAGAGCCUCCCCAGCCAUGGGGACACGGGGUCCCUCUGGCAUCAGGGACCUGCCUCCCUGCCGCCUCCCCACUGAUGGAUGGGAUCCAAAUGGCUGUAAAUUGCCGGGUGCUGCAGCCGUGUUUUACCCGCCGGGCUGGAGGAGCCACGUGCGGGGCACGGGCUGUCAGUCAAGGGCUCGGGGAGGGAGAGGGGACAGUCGGCGAGAUCCAUUCCCCGGCACUUACACCAGCGGAGAGAAGAGCGUAAAUGGGUGUGAUAAUGGUGCGACGGGGCCUCGCAGAGACGGUAUUUUGGAAAAGAACACAAUUAUCCCGCUUUGCUGUUCACCCUUAAAACCCCCUGUCCUGGAAGGUCUGGGGGAACUGUGUUCUGAAACGACCACGCAGCCUGUGUGAGCCCUGAACCCUCCCCAGGCAGAGUCCUCUCCUGCACUGUGCCAGCUCCAUGCACUGCACUGCAAUAGAAUAAAAUCAGCCUCUGCUCCCGGCCCAACACACAAGACCAGAGGGAGGAUCACGCUCUCCAAACUUUGCAGAAGGGAAAUGAAGCGCAGAGAGAUGAAGUGACCUUCCUAAGGUCACAUGGGGAAUUUGCAGCGGAGCCAAGGACUGAACUGAGAUCUCCAGGGUCCUCAUCUACUGCUUCCACCGUGAGAUAUUCCUUCCUCUUUCCCUCCAGCCAAGUUAAAAAUAAAACUGAGUUUCAUUUCCCUUUGGCAGCAACGUGA